This 201-nucleotide ribosomal RNA is filed under the name uncultured Lactobacillus sp. Its description in RNAcentral is "partial 16S ribosomal RNA". It matches the Rfam family "Bacterial small subunit ribosomal RNA", at positions 161 to 354 of the family's 1533-position model. The record is from RNAcentral. Lineage: Bacteria; Bacillati; Bacillota; Bacilli; Lactobacillales; Lactobacillaceae.
UGCUAAUACCGGAUAACAACAGAUGAUGCCUAUCAACUGUUUAAAAGAUGGUUCUGCUAUCACUCUUGGAUGGACCUGCGGUGCAUUAGCUAGUUGGUAGGGUAACGGCCUACCAAGGCGAUGAUGCAUAGCCGAGUUGAGAGACUGAUCGGCCACAUUGGGACUGAGACACGGCCCAAACUCCUACGGGAGGCAGCAGAG